Felis catus (domestic cat) is the source of this 467-nucleotide long non-coding RNA. RefSeq lists it as uncharacterized. The record is from RefSeq and is a predicted model, not a curated record. The transcript has 3 exons. NCBI's taxonomy places the organism in Eukaryota, Metazoa, Chordata, Mammalia, Carnivora, Felidae.
ACAGAAUCUGAAGCAGGCUCCAGGCUCUGAGCUGUCAGCACAGAGCCCGACGCGGGGCUCGAACCCACGAACUGCGAGACCAUGAGCUGAGGACGCUUAACCGACUAAGUCACCCAGGCGCCCUUCUCAUCACGUUUUAUCGAGGAUUUUUAUACUUCAUGGUGAAAAUAAGAUAACCAGAGUCCAGCCCAUAAAUGAAGACUCUUGACGAUGUCGUGACCAUGGGGACAUGUACAGCUGCCCCUGGGACUCUCCUCCUUUCUUUCGAAGACCUUUCGGGAUGCGGUGCAGCCUCAGAAAACGCAAAGUCUGCCUACUGGCAACAAGUUUCCUGCAGAAGGGUCUGCGGAAAGGGAGCCCAAAUCGACUGCACCGUCCAAUUAAAUGCUCCAUUUUAGGGGCGCCUGGGUGGCGCAGUCGGUUAAGCGUCCGACUUCAGCCAGGUCACGAUCUCGCGGUCCAUGGGU